CAAGAGGUAGUUUAUAUUAAAAUACUAAUUUUGGGGAUUAGUGAAAAAGAAAUUCUUUUCUCUUGA
This 66-nucleotide transfer RNA is filed under the name Chrysotus sp. RNAcentral describes it as "tRNA-Pro". Lineage: Eukaryota; Metazoa; Arthropoda; Insecta; Diptera; Dolichopodidae. The record is from RNAcentral.